Theobroma cacao (cacao) is the source of this 1000-nucleotide non-coding RNA. Lineage: Eukaryota; Viridiplantae; Streptophyta; Magnoliopsida; Malvales; Malvaceae. The record is from RefSeq and is a predicted model, not a curated record.
CUGACUCAAUGCUGGUUGCUUUGCUCAUAUUCUUUCAGAUUAUGAGAGUUGGACUUGGCUGAUUCGAACUUAUGCAAAGGGGUUACAUUUCUGUCAAGGUUAUGCAAACUCACCACCAUAAUCACUGAAGCAGCAAACAUUGGGAUUGGACCAAAAAUCCACAGCAGCAAAGUAGUGGCAAAGUAAAUUGCUCGUAAACCGACUGACCAACAAGCACUUCCUCUUAUCACUGCCUUCUGGAUACAACCUACUGGAAUAUCUGCAUUGGGCAUGCUGAUGAGGAAACUAGCAUGGGCAAAGUUCCCAACACAUUGAAGAAAAGAACCGAAAGCCACCAGAAAGCAGAAAAGAAGGCUGAUAUAUUUGACAGAAAUGAUUGAUGAGCUUGUAUUGCCAUAAAUCAGACUAUUUCUGAAGAGACUACUAGAAGAUUCUGCAAGCCAUGUUCCAAUAAGGGAACUCAAAGUUAGAGAUAUUGUUGCCAGGAAAGUUGCUGCUGAUAUCGUGGAGUUGAUUGCUGUUAAUGGCAAACCUCUAUCCUUUGCCUCAACCUGCAAAAAUGUUCAUCAUCAUAACUACAGGUGAACAAUCUAAGCUGGGUUUUGUUUAUAUUUUGGCCUUCUUGGGGAUGAACAUAGGAGCUCACCUGCAACAUUCUCUCUACCCAAGCUUUCUUGCAGUGGUUCUCAUAGCCACUGACAGUGGUUUGAGGGAGUUUGAGGCAUCUGUAUAGAAGAAAGACAUGGUAAGCUGACAUAAUCAGUAACCCACUUGGGACCAAAACUAAAUCCAAGUAUUCCUUCGUCCAUGCCAUUCCUUUGUCUCUCAAAACAACUGUAGAGGAGAUGUAGCCAGUGUUCGGUAUUAAUAAAAGCCUCUGCUAACAUGGCCAGUGGUCACUUGUGAUUAAUUUCAUUUCAUAGUGGAUUAGUUUAACUAAUGAUGUUGUAUUGCUCUGGCACAUUGUCUUAUUUGGAUUAAAAUAUAGACAAUCACCAUA